CUUUCUUUGCUGGCGACCGGCGCACGGGUGAGUAACACGUAUCCAACCUGCCCUUUACUCGGGAUAGCCUUUCGAAAGAAAGAUUAAUACCCGAUAGCAUAAUGAUUCCGCAUGGUUUCAUUAUUAAAGGAUUCCGGUAAAGGAUGGGGAUGCGUUCCAUUAGGUUGUUGGUGGGGUAACGGCCCACCAAGCCUUCGAUGGAUAGGGGUUCUGAGAGGAAGGUCCCCCACAUUGGAACUGAGACACGGUCCAA
RNAcentral lists this ribosomal RNA (253 nucleotides) under uncultured bacterium. RNAcentral's name for it is "partial 16S ribosomal RNA". It matches the Rfam family "Bacterial small subunit ribosomal RNA", at positions 79 to 334 of the family's 1533-position model. The record is from RNAcentral.